UAGUUGGUAGGGUAAUGGCCUACCAAGGCGACGAUCGUAGCCGGCCUGAGAGGGCACACGGCCACACUGGCACUGAGACACGGGCCAGACUCCUACGGGAGGCAGCAGUGGGGAAUCUUGCACAAUGGGGGAAACCCUGAUGCAGCGACGCCGCGUGAGUGAUGAAGCCCUUCGGGGUGUAAAGCUCUUUCGACGGGAACGAUAAUGACGGUACCCGGAGAAGAAGCUGCGGCUAACUACGUGCCAGCAGCCGCGGUAAUACGUAGGCAGCAAGCGUUGUUCGGAAUUACUGGGCGUAAAGAGUACGUAGGUGGUUUGCUAAGUCCGAUGUGAAAUCUCCUGGCUUAACUGGGAGGGUGCGUUAGAUACUGGCAGGCUUGAAUGUGGGAGAGGAGAGCGGAAUUCCUGGUGUAGCGGUGAAAUGCGUAGAUAUCAGGAGGAACGCCUGUGGUGUAGACGGCUCUCUGGACCAUUAUUGACACUGAGGUACGAAAGCGUGGGUAGCAAACAGGAUUAGAUACCCUGGUAGUCCACGCCCUAAACGAUGCAUACUUGGUGUGGGCAGUUCAGUCUGUCCGUGCCGGAGCUAACGCGUUAAGUAUGCCGCC
This 608-nucleotide ribosomal RNA is filed under the name uncultured bacterium. Its description in RNAcentral is "bacterial SSU rRNA". It matches the Rfam family "Bacterial small subunit ribosomal RNA", at positions 246 to 873 of the family's 1533-position model. The record is from RNAcentral.